AGAUGGCUGCAUUAACAACCCUCUCCACCACAAUGCUCAGCACCACCUUCUUGAACCGCCACCAACCUGUUGUCACCAGUCUCCGAGCCAACACGGGUAGAUCCCUCUUCGGGCUCAAGUCAUCUGGCCGAGGCCGGGUGACUUGCAUGUCUCCUUACAAAGUCAAGCUGAUUACACCAACAGGCUAGGAAGCAUGAGUGCAGGUGCAGGUGCGGGUACGGGAGUGCGCGAUGCGGGGAUUCGGGAAUUCGGCAAAUUCAAAAAUGUGGGGAUUCGGGUGCGGGGGGAUUCGGCUAAUAUUGAUAUAUUAAGAUAUAUAUUAUACAUGUAUUUCAAGAGUUACAUAUAUAUUUAAACCAAUUAAUCAAAUAAAUAAGUUUAAUAUCCUUAAUAAUUUAUAAUAUAGUUACUUAAUAGCACAAUUAUUACCACUAUAAAGUAGUUAAGUGAUAAAAUAUUCAAUUAAUCACAGAAUCAAUAAUUAACAAGAAUCCCCAAGUAUCGAAGAAUCCCCAAGAAUCGAGUGCGCGGUGCGGCGGGUGAGUGAAGUAUCCCUGCUUUCUAGCCAACAGGUGAGCAUGAAUUUGAGUGUCAUAGUGAUGUAUUCAUUCUUGACAAGGCUGAAGAGGUGGGAAUCGAUCUUCCCUCCUCUUGCAGAGCAGGGUCUUGCUCUACUUGUGGUGGAAAAGUUGUUUCGGGCUUAGUGGAACAAUCAGACCAGAGCUUUUUUGAUGAUGAACAGAUAGAGGAGGGCUAUGUUCUCACGUGUGUGGCUUAUCCUAAUUAUGAACAGAUAGAGGAGGGCUAUGCACUGUAAUUUUUUUACUAAAUAUGUUUGAUUUCAUUCAAAUUAUGCAUGACAGUUUGAACAUCUUUAAUAGGCUUAAUGCCCUUUCAACGCUCAAUGUUUGGGGCUAUGUACCGAUGCGGCCUCAAUGUUUUAACUCGACUGAUUCAACCUUUUAACUAUCCAAUAUGUUCCGUUUAGCCCUCAUACCGGUAUAAAGUCAAAAAAACAGUAAUAUAACGGAGGGUAUUAACAUAGAGGGUUAAAAGGGCAUUUAGCCACCAAUAAAGAAAUUACUCCUGACAGGACCAAGAAAAAAAGAGACAAAAUAAAAUGUUGUGAUCCAGUCCAGAGAAGAUAACUCAAACAUGUUGAAGAGAAAAGGAACUAGUCUAAGGUGCUCUAAUUGUGGUGAGUGGGAACACAAUGUUAGAAGCUGUCCUAAAGAGGUGUAAUAACAUAUCUGUACUCCGAUAUUUUAUCAUAUACAUCACACUGCAACUAAUAUCUAUUUUCCUAACAGAAAACUGCUGGGAACAAAGAGGAUGGGAAGAAAGAAGAUGCCUUCAAGUGGAAAGAAAGAAGAACCAGAUGCAACUACUGCAACGAACUUGGACACAAUGCCAGAUCUUGCACACCUAAGGUAUAUUUCACUUCAGUUUUUUUUGGUAAUUUAGUGUGUAUUGUCUUUUUUCAUGUAUCUAAGGUGUUUUGUGUCUUUUCAUGUGAUUUAGAGGGGAAGAAAUCAUCUAGGAACAAGAAACUUGCAGGAAGAUCACCCAGGUGCAGCCCAAUAAAAGAUGGCAAAGAAUUCCUCACUCAUGAGGGUAUGUUCAAGCCUUUCAAACUACCCACACAAACAGGCCCUUCACAGGAUUUGAGUACUCCGAAAGAGAUGGCUAGAACUACACAACUACGCAACUCUUAAGCAAUUGCAAGCAGUAUUGAGAAAGAAUAAGGGUCCCGUGGUCUAUUGAGAAAAGAAUAAGGGUAUUGUCACUAUAUUGGCUACUUUGAAUGUUUUAGUUCAGAAACAACUAGGGUCUUUUAAGAAUUUCUCUGUUUCAUUACUUUUGAGAAUUGGUCUAGUGUAUUAUUAUUGGGCAAUUCUUUUUGUUGUUGGCCGCGACUUGAAGUUGUUUUGGAGACGUAGUUGGUUGUAUCUGAUCUUAAACAUUUAUAGUAUCCAUAUGCUUUUAUCUCUGUCAUUUAUUGAGUUUAGUGUGCAUUUAUACUUGCUUUCGACUUUUAUUUGUUUUUUAGUUUUACCAGUAUUCUGCCUCAUUUAUGUUAUGGUAGCAUUUGUCCUCAUCUAUACUAUAAUGACCUCUCAAACACAAAACAAACAUAAGGGAAACAUUACUUCAGUCGAUUCAUUUUAAACAAAUACAUUACAAACUUCAUCAAACAUUACUCAAUGUCAAUACUCAACAAGAAGAAAAUGACAUCUACAACUCCUAGUCCUCUACAUCAACAUCUUGCAUCUUGCGGAAACUAUAUAAAACAAUUGCAAUCCAUGUGACAAUCAACAAAGUAAGCGCAAUGUUGCAACUACACUUCUCUUGUUUAGAUCCUUCUUGAAACUCCAUGUCCCAUGCACCCAGAAAACCCAUUCUCCCUGCUUCGGAACAUACUAUAUAUGACCUCCAAUCUAUUCCGGACCAAAUCCAAUUCUCUUGCAGUCAACUUGUUUAUGUUGUGCUUCGAGCUUAUUAAUUUUUUUAAUAGCCCAGGGAUUAUUGCUCUUGCACGGUCAUAAAGUGGAUCAUCCAACCAUCGGAAAAAUCUAUUUCACAAUAAACAAACCGACGACCUACAUUUGAAUCUGUCCAAGCAGUUUUCGCGAGCAACCAAUUAUCACAGACACAUCUUUCAGCCGUUAUCUAUCACCGAUGAAGAAGUAAAGAAAGAAAGGAGGGAUAUGAAGAAGACAGAGAAAAGAUGAGAAGAGAUAAAAAAAGACACAAAUAAAAAAAAGACUAUAUAUAUAUAUACACACACACAGACUGUGUCCAAAUCUAGUCAAAUGUCCCCGACUUAAUGGUUUUCAAUAAACUUGACUGUUACAUUAAGAAAAAGGUUUAAUCUGACGCGCCAAACAAAACAAGGUGCACAGUUGCAAUUAUAUAAAGUACUGGCCAUAAAAUGCUCUUCCCGAACUUCAAUGGGUAGCGUUUUGCAAUUAACUUUAUAAAAUACUACUACGAUGAUGAUGUAUAAAUAUUAAGAAAUUUUUAUAUCCAAUAGCAAAACAAGCCACGUAAAUAUAAGGCUUAAUGACCUUUUAGCCCUCGAAGUAUGGGUGGAAGUUCCGAUGCGGCGUCGAAGUUUAAAAACGUACCUUUCGACCCUCAAAGUAUCUUUGUCGUACCUUUUAGCCCUUUUUAAAAUUACCGGUAUAAAUCGGGGGGAUAAACUUGACAAUUCAUAUUCGAGGUAAAGUUUGGGCGUACCUUUUAACCCUUAAAGUAUACAUCUCGUUCCUUUUAACCCUUAAAGAAUACAUUAAAAUACAUGAGAUGUUCCUUUUAACCCUUAAUGUUUAAUGCUCUUUUUAACCCUCACGUGUGAAAUGUCAACUUUGUCCACCCCGUUAUAACCGGUAUACGCCAUAAGGGCUAAAAGGUACGACAAAGAUACUUUGAGGGUCGAAAUGUACGUUUUUAAACUUCGAGGCCGCAUCAGAACAUCCACCCAAACUUCAAGGGCUAAAAGGUCAUUAAGCCUAAAUAUAAAAACAAGAAAAAUUUAAGCCACAUUUUCAGUAAUAAAAGAAGAGCAAGCCACAGAGCAGCUCAUCAGAUGCACACAAAGAAGAUAGGAUAAGAUUUCCUCUGAGCGCCUUACUUCCACACUCCAGUAAAUUAUAUCCUCCUUAUCAACUUGCAUUCAUUCUCCGAAAACUAGCAUACCAUUCAAGAUGGCUGCAUUAACAACCCUCUUCACCACCAUGCUGAACACCACCUUCUUAAACCGCCACCAACCUGUUGUCACCAGUCUCCGAGCCAACACUGGUAAAUCCCUUUUCGGGCUCAAGUCAUCCGGACGAGGCCGGGUGACUUGCAUGGCUUACAAAGUGAAGCUGAUUACACCAACAGGUGAGCAUGAAUUCGAGUGUCCAAGUGAUGAGUACAUUCUCGACUAUGCUGAAGAGAAGGGAAUCGAUCUUCCCUUCUCUUGCAGAGCAGGGUCAUGCUCUAGUUGUACAGGAAAAGUUGUUUCGGGCUCGGUGGAUCAAUCAGACCAGAGCUUUCUUGAUGAUGAACAGGUGGAUGCGGGUUAUGUUCUCACUUGUGUGGCUUAUCCUAUCUCUGAUGUAACAAUUCAAACCCACAGGGAGGAGGAUCUUUUUUAAAUAUUUAUUCUUAUGUCCUGAUAUCCUUUGUUACACAAUUCAUAAUCUUCUGUUUGGUUUUUGAUUAUUUACUAUGAAAUGUUUCAUCAUAAAAUCAAAAUAUGAUACUCCGUCCAUCCCAAUGAAUUCUUUACAUUGGGAUUGGGUACCGAGACUAAGAAAAAAUAUAUUAAGUGGUAUAAAAUAAUAAGGGAAAGAAAAGUGGAGAAAGUAGUGAAUCCAUCUAUAUUUAAUGGAUAGAUUUGAAAAUGUAGAUGAACGUAGUGAGUGAGAUUGAGUUUUAUAUAAUAUAAAAUUUUACUAUUUUCGGAAUGUUUUGUAAUUUAUAGAAAUGAGUGGGAUGUCAAAAAAAACUGUAAAGAAUCUAAUGGGACGGAGGGAAUACAAUUCAUUUAAAUCUAUAAAUUGAUUUUAAUUCAUUAAAAUUCGGGUGGAUACACCCCUUGAGAGCAGCUCUGUGCCUCUGUUACAAAGGGGGUUUCCCUUUUGUUAUCAGAAAACCAUCUGUUCUGAGUCUAGAAAUCCUUUACUCAAGGCCAGUCCAUUUCAGAAACUUGUUUGCGUUUGCCUGAAGUAAGUUUUUUUCCAUUUCACCCGAAAUCUCUUUCAUUUUUUACAUCGAAUAUAGUUGAGAAUGUAACAAGAGGUUGAAGAGUGGGUAUAGGAGUAGGGCUCACGUCAAAACCCUGCUUAGUGCUUACCCUGCUUGGCUUGCUGUAGGAAUAACAUGUCAGUCACCAAAGUGUUGGUAUCAAGUUUUGAGUUCGGUCACCAACUUGAUUACUAAUCCAAAAUCUGUUGCAGGGUAUUGGUUAAUAAGGCCCUGUCGCGGAUUAAUAAAAUAAAUAUAAAAUACUACUACAAUGAUUAAUAAUCACUAUAAAUAUUAAAAAAUUUCAUAUUGAAUAGAAAAAUAAGUCACAUAAAUAUAAAAACAAGAAACAUGUAAGCCACAUUUUCUGUAAUAAAAGAAGAGCAAGCUACAGAGCAGCUCAUUAGAUGCACAGAAAGAAGAUAGGAUAAGAUUUCCUCUGAGCUGCUCUACUUCCACACUCCCUCUCCACUCCAGUGAAUUAUACCCUCCUUAUCAACUUGCAUUCAUUCUCCGAAAACUAGCAUUCCAUUCAAGAUGGCUGCAUUAACAACCCUCUCCACCACAAUGCUCAGCACCACCUUCUUAAACCGCCACCAACCUGUUGUCACCAGUCUGCGAGCCAACACGGGUAGAUCCCUUUUCGGGCUCAAGUCAUCUGGCCGAGGCCGGGUGACUUGCAUGGCUUACAAAGUGAAGCUGAUUACACCAACAGGUGAGCUUGAAUUCGAGUGUCCAGAAGAUGCAUACAUUCUCGACCAUGCUGAAGAGCAGGGAAUCGAUCUUCCCUACUCUUGCAGAGCAGGGUCAUGCUCUAGUUGUACCGGGAAAGUUGUUUCAGGCACACUGGAUCAAUCAGACCAGAGCUUUCUUGAUGAUGACCAGAUGAAGGCUGGUUAUGUUCUCACUUGUGUGGCUUAUCCUAC
Molecule: long non-coding RNA, 5660 nt
Filed under: Daucus carota (carrot)
Lineage: Eukaryota; Viridiplantae; Streptophyta; Magnoliopsida; Apiales; Apiaceae
Description: long non-coding RNA (DCAR_LNC006054)
Source: RNAcentral